Molecule: non-coding RNA, 78 nt
Organism: Podarcis lilfordi (Lilford's wall lizard)
Lineage: Eukaryota; Metazoa; Chordata; Lepidosauria; Squamata; Lacertidae
Source: the annotation of a GenBank genome assembly
GCUUGGCCAUAGCUGAGCGGUAGAGCAUCUGCCUUGCAUGCCAGAGCUCGUAGGUUCAAUCCCUGGUACCGCUGGGUA